GACGAACGCUGGCGGCGUGCCUAACACAUGCAAGUCGAGCGGGGUUGAAGCGAGAGGUAACUCGAACUUCUACCUAGCGGCGGACGGGUGAGUAACGCGUGGGCAACCUGCCUCAAGGUUUGGGAUAACAGCCCGAAAGGGCUGCUAAUACCGGAUAUGCCUAUGGCCUCGCAUGGGGCUAUGAGCAAAGGGGAAACCCGCCUUGAGACUGGGCCCGCGUCCCAUCAGCUAGUUGGUGAGGUAACAGCUCACCAAGGCGACGACGGGUAGCCGGCCUGAGAGGGUGACCGGCCACACUGGGACUGAGACACGGCCCAGACUCCUACGGGGGGCAGCAGUGGGGGAUCUUGCACAAUGGGCGAAAGCCUGAUGCAGCGACGCCGCGUGAGCGAAGAAGGCCUUCGGGUUGUAAAGCUCUGUCUGGAGGGACGAACAAAAUGACGGUACCUCCGGAGGAAGCCACGGCUAACUACGUG
RNAcentral lists this ribosomal RNA (476 nucleotides) under uncultured bacterium. Its description in RNAcentral is "bacterial SSU rRNA". It matches the Rfam family "Bacterial small subunit ribosomal RNA", at positions 28 to 507 of the family's 1533-position model. The record is from RNAcentral.